GGGCGUCCCGGCCGGGGUGCCUGCUCACCUGGACGCGCUGGCAGACCCCGCUGCAGUUGUCUUCCUGCCCAGUUUCUGGGCUGGCGUUCGUGGGUUCUUGUCCACAUGCAGAGAGGUUACUGCAGGGAAUGAAAAAUUAAGAAGGUUGCCCCCAAAGAACAGUUACCUGCAGUGGUAAGAGUACCAGAAAUGAUCAAACUGGCCUUCUGGCUGCCUCUGCCUCCCUAGUGCUGGGGAAUAAAGGUGUGUACCACCACACCCCACAGGAGACACCCUUUUAAAGACAUCUAAGAUAAUUAAUGGUGCUUUACACAAUUUCCUAAAACACCAGAAGAGAAAAAACCUGGUCCUGCUCAAGAGAAGCAGAUGCACACGUCAGCUCUGGAGACUCCCCUUUGGUUAUGAAAUACGAUCUGUAUCAUCUCAAGCUGCUGAAUAUUUAAAUGAAAGACGUGAGUGGCAGGACAGCAGAGGUUUUGGGCUGCUUCCACGAGGCCUACUGAGCUGCUCAUCUGUUCUUUGCUUUGCUAAACACUAACAAAUCUGUUACAGGAGGGCUGGGAGACUCUUCAACAGGCCCAAGAAGCAUACUUCCUUGUAAACAGAUCCUCUGUGCAAAGCCCUGAGGCCCUGUCUGACUAUACCCUGGAUGCUAAUUAGGGGUAUCACCUUUCAUCCUGGGCCUCUGGGUUUCCGGCCUCUUCAUCCACCCCAUCUUGUUACAUGCUCUGGAAAUCCAAUGCUUCACCCUCACCAGUUUCCAUGGAGAUGCAACAGUUUACUUUUUUCUUCCCAAGUCUAAGCCAUGGUUAUUUUUAACUGGAAAACUCUGAGCCAGGUCACAGCUGGGAUCUGGAUGAUGCAAUGACGUCUAUAGCUACCCUUCUCUCCCACAAACGCCUUCUUUUCUGCAGUUGUUGGGGGCGGAGGCGCUCCUGGGAGACUUUGAAAAGCUGUUUUUGCUUUGUUUCAUGAAGUUAAAACUCAUACCUUGACUUAGAGCUGGCAGACAUUCUCAAUCUGAAGCUGUGUGACUACAACCUGGUAAAGAUGUUCUUAUUGGGGUGGGAAGCCAGGUGAGGCUGACAUUGCUUAGGUAUCUGUGGCUGGGCCUGGGUCUGGCAGAUUGGCUAUUUGCUGCAGCUUGUCUUGGUGAAAAUGAAGCUUGCAAAGGGGGACAAAGGUAGAAACAAGUGGAGAAGCAAGUGCUCACAUCUCCAGCACAAGCAGCAGAUGCCCUGGAUACCUUACUGUCUACCCAUCCUGCUGGAGAAACUUGGUCAGUCCACCUAACGCCAAGGCCCUUCGUUCCCUGGAGCUGGGCUUAUCAAGGCCUUUCUGAAUGUUUCAACUCCUUAGGAUUUUCCUUAAUUACCUGGAAACUGCCCUAUUUCACUGACAACUCUCUAGGAUUAUUAUAAAAGACUACAACAAAAAUAAUUCUAAGCAGUCAUACAUAUUAACUAUCCACAACUCAUCAUUGCUUUAAAAUACAUUUUGUUGUUCUUUUAAAGAAAUUUCUUAAAUGAGGAGUGAUACCA
Molecule: long non-coding RNA, 1541 nt
Organism: Mesocricetus auratus (golden hamster)
Lineage: Eukaryota; Metazoa; Chordata; Mammalia; Rodentia; Cricetidae
Exons: 3
Source: RefSeq, a predicted model, not a curated record